Molecule: ribosomal RNA, 397 nt
Filed under: uncultured Trichosporonales
Lineage: Eukaryota; Fungi; Basidiomycota; Tremellomycetes
Description: eukaryotic LSU rRNA
Rfam family: Eukaryotic large subunit ribosomal RNA
Source: RNAcentral
UGUUUGGGAAUGCAGCUCAAAUGGGUGGUAAAUUCCAUCUAAAGCUAAAUAUUGGCUAGAGACCGAUAGCGAACAAGUACCGUGAGGGAAAGAUGAAAAGCACUUUGGAAAGAGAGUUAAACAGUACGUGAAAUUGUUGAAAGGGAAACGAUUGAAGUCAGUCGUGUUCAUUGGAUUCAGCCGGUCUUCGGUGUACUUCCUUUGAACGGGUCAACAUCAGUUUUGCCCGGUGGAUAAAGGCAGUAGGAAUGUGACCUCUCCGGAGGUGUUAUAGCCUAUUGUCACAUACACUGGGGAAACUGAGGACUGCAGCUCGCCUUUUGGCCGGGGUUCGCCCACGUUCGAGCUUAGGAUGUUGACAUAAUGGCUUUAAACGACCCGUCUUGAAACACGGACC